AUCAAAGAGGUCUCUGCCAGCAGCACUCUGGGUAGUUUUGGUUUUCCCCUGUAGGAGUUGUCUGGUGCAGACUUGAGCAGCGCUUCUCAAGCCAUGGAGGGAGUGUGUGCCGCAGCGUUCACGGCUUUUUCCGUGGCUUAUUCCGGGUACUUUUUCACCCACCUGGCGCGUCACAUCACCCGUGCCUGGAGAGGAUCUGGUCUUUGGAGCCCAAAACCAACCUGGGAGUCUCCUGUGGCUGCGUGUCUUCCUGAAGAAGAGGCCAAAGGGGAGGAGGAUGCCCAGCCAACUGCACCUGCUG
Molecule: long non-coding RNA, 301 nt
Organism: Motacilla alba alba
Lineage: Eukaryota; Metazoa; Chordata; Aves; Passeriformes; Motacillidae
Exons: 3
Source: RefSeq, a predicted model, not a curated record